UUUAACAUUACAUAACUCACAAUUUAGGUGGUUGUACCAAUUUUCUAAUUAUUCGUUUACAGGUAUAUUUAAAUAACUUGUCAUUACUUAAAUCUUCAAAACAUUUCGUUUACAAGUACAUUAAUAUAACCACUCAUUAUUUAAUUCUUCUAUUCACUUCGUUUACACGUAUAUUAAUAUAAGUAUCAUUACUCGGUUACAGUUUAAAUAGAAAAGACA
Stegodyphus dumicola is the source of this 219-nucleotide long non-coding RNA. The record is from RefSeq and is a predicted model, not a curated record. NCBI's taxonomy places the organism in Eukaryota, Metazoa, Arthropoda, Arachnida, Araneae, Eresidae.